This 464-nucleotide ribosomal RNA is filed under the name uncultured bacterium. Its description in RNAcentral is "bacterial SSU rRNA". It matches the Rfam family "Bacterial small subunit ribosomal RNA", at positions 330 to 792 of the family's 1533-position model. The record is from RNAcentral.
ACCAGACUCCUACGGGAGGCAGCAGUGAGGAAUAUUGGUCAAUGGCCGCAGGGCUGAACCAGCCAAGUCGCGUGAGGGAUGACGGUCCUAUGGAUUGUAAACCUCUUUUGUCAGGGAGCAAAGGGCGCCACGUGUGGCGUUUUGCGAGUACCUGAAGAAAAAGCAUCGGCUAACUCCGUGCCAGCAGCCGCGGUAAUACGGAGGAUGCGAGCGUUAUCCGGAUUUAUUGGGUUUAAAGGGUGCGCAGGCGGAAUGUCAAGUCAGCGGUAAAAUUUCGGGGCUCAACCCCGUCGUGCCGUUGAAACUGACGGUCUUGAGUGGGCGAGAAGUAUGCGGAAUGCGUGGUGUAGCGGUGAAAUGCAUAGAUAUCACGCAGAACUCCGAUUGCGAAGGCAGUAUACCGGCGCCCAACUGACGCUGAAGCACGAAAGCGUGGGUAUCGAACAGGAUUAGAUACCCCAGUA